Long non-coding RNA from Thunnus maccoyii (southern bluefin tuna), 835 nucleotides. RefSeq lists it as uncharacterized. The transcript has 2 exons. The record is from RefSeq and is a predicted model, not a curated record. NCBI's taxonomy places the organism in Eukaryota, Metazoa, Chordata, Actinopteri, Scombriformes, Scombridae.
CAAGGAGUCUCGGCAGAGUGCAGACAUAAAGGAGCCCUCCCCGUUUUCCAGGUGCAAGAGCAACAAGACAAUAUACAGGAUGUAGGCAAAGGAAGUGUCAAAGAGGACUACAAUGAGCAUGUCAUGAAGAUCAUUGUCCAUGGAAGUACAACACAAGAAGGCCCCACUCAUCCUGACGUGUUCAUCAUUACUGAGUGAACUAGGUUCUUCAUGAUUGUAGAGGUGUGGUAAACACUUGCCUUCUGCUCAUAUAUCUGAACCAUUUUGUUUUACUGACAGCUCUAAGUAAAUACUUAUUAACUAUGGUAGGUAGCUAUUUGAAACUGGUCUUGGAUCUUCCUUAACAUCUACAUGUUUUUAUAUUUUAUUAUGCUAGUGUUUUUCAAAUGGGGGUGUCUAAGCACUAGGGCCUCGCUGAUCUGAUAUUUAGUGAAAGGUUAGUUGGUGUGAAGCAGUACCCUCAACACCUCAAGGACUUUCAUGGUGAAAAACUCAAUAUGGACCCCUUUUUUUUUACACAGUGGAGGUUUUAUCCAACCUGAAUUGAAGUUGAUCAUUGUAAAUACAUUUCAGAACUGAUACAAGGGAUCAUUACAGAAUUGAACUGUCCUUUGUACAAUAUGUUGAUUCAUUCUGAUAGACUGAGCUUUUAAGAGAAAACAUCACUGUAAAAGUCAUUUUGGCACUUGAUUUUAUUUGGUUGGCAACAGAGGCUGAUUAAUGUGCAGUGUCUUAUCUGUUAACGCAACUGACUCAUUAUGUUACAAACACUGUAAGCAGUUUCAGAACUCUUGCACCAGUAAUGGAGAACAUUUUAAUAAAAAGUUGCUAUUUA